This 101-nucleotide small nuclear RNA is filed under the name Moschus moschiferus (Siberian musk deer). Lineage: Eukaryota; Metazoa; Chordata; Mammalia; Artiodactyla; Moschidae. The record is from RNAcentral.
UUGCAUGCAUGCACGCAUACUAAAAUUGGAAUGAUUCAGAGAAGAUUAUCAAGGCCCUGUGCAACAAUGACACACAAAUUCAUGAAGCGUUACAUAUUUUU